CAGAUUUUUUUAAAAUCUCCCGCACGAAUCGCAAAGCAAGCAAAAAGAAAGAAAGAAAAAAUAUGAAACCUCACGCGCUGGGCGUACGAGGUGGAAGAGGAGGGGACUCUCGAAGGAGUCCUCCUCUUCGAAUGCAACCGGAAAAAGGGUUCCAAGGCUUGUUCAAACUCCGGCGAGGCCCUAGGAUCCGUGCCUAUAAAUCCCUCUCCCAUCCUCCUCAACAAGUGACCCAAAUUUCCAGUCAAUCGUCAGCGAAAUCGCACGGAUUAGAGGAAUUCUUUCCGUCGAACAGUUUUCCAUGACCACCGUCAAUCAGCCCCAAAGUUGAGUUGCAGUCACCGGAUGCGAACUUGCCGUGGUCGCUGAGGACCGGAGCCAUCAUCACCGGUGUUGAAAGGUCGCCGCCGGUCGUGGUUGCCAUCGUGGGAGUGGGAGAUGGUGGGGGGAGGGGGGUGGUUGGCCGGCCUCGCGAAGAAGAAUAAAGUCUCCCAUUAGGGGUAUUAGAGCUAGGCAUGGUAUGCAUCAUUAUUUUAUUAGUUGUGCAAGUCUCCCAUUAGGGGAUACCAGGGCCGAUAAAGAUCUGGAAGGUUUGAGAUAGCUCUAGGCCAUGGAUGCCCCUUCCCAACCCUUGAGUAGGAGCCAACCAUGAGGAGGGCAUCUGAGAUUGGUUGGGGAAGAUUCUCGGCCCCAUAUGGACUAAUGAAAAGGGCCCUAUAUGGGUUUGUCAUCCAAGAUUGCUCCUCCACUCAAUAGCAUAAAGAUUUGUACGAUGAGACUUAAUAUAGAUGUAAUAGGAGAGAACAAACGUUGAUAUGUGGAUUAACUUCACUCUUUU
Molecule: long non-coding RNA, 835 nt
Organism: Elaeis guineensis (African oil palm)
Lineage: Eukaryota; Viridiplantae; Streptophyta; Magnoliopsida; Arecales; Arecaceae
Source: RefSeq, a predicted model, not a curated record